RNAcentral lists this long non-coding RNA (215 nucleotides) under Homo sapiens (human). Its description in RNAcentral is "HSALNT0182591". The record is from RNAcentral. Lineage: Eukaryota; Metazoa; Chordata; Mammalia; Primates; Hominidae.
UGCUGUCGGCUCCCCCUCCCCAAGUCAUCUUCACACAUCUUCAUGUGGGCGGCAGGCAUUUGCUUCCACUGUGGAGUUGACUCCAUCUCCCAAUAGGCCUCUUCUGGAAAUUCCCUCCCCAUGUUAGAUCUGGCAGAGCCACUGGGAGACAGAGCAGCAGAGGGGAGCUGAGUGACACUAGGUUGCUAUGACAGCCAGGAAUUUGCGAACCAAAC